This 464-nucleotide ribosomal RNA is filed under the name uncultured bacterium. Its description in RNAcentral is "partial 16S ribosomal RNA". It matches the Rfam family "Bacterial small subunit ribosomal RNA", at positions 29 to 507 of the family's 1533-position model. The record is from RNAcentral.
ACGCACGCUGGCGGCGUGCUUCACGCAUGCCGGUCGUACGGUAAGGCCCUUUCGGGUGUACACGAGUGGCGAACGGGUGAGUAACACGUGAGUAACCUGCCCACAACUUUGGGCUAACGCUUGGGUACUGGUGCCAAUACUGGAUAUGAGCUCCUGUUGCAUGGUGGGGGUUGGAAAGCUCCGGCGGUCGUGGAUGGACUCGCGACCUAUCAGCUUGUUGGGGGGGUAGUGGAAUACCAAGGGGGCGACGGGUAGACGGCCUGAGGAGUUGACCGGCCACAUUGAGGCUGAGAACCGGCCGCGACUCGUACGGGCAGCCGCUGUGCGGCAAAUUGCAAAAGGGGCGCCGCCCCGGUGCUGCAACCCCACGCGCGGUAUGACGGCCUUAGGGUUGUAAACCGCCUUCAGCAGGGACGAAGCUUUUAUUGACGGUACCUGCAAAAGAAGCACCGGCUAACUACGUG